AUCCAGCUGACGACUCCCAAUGAGGACGAAAUGCGCGUCCUGGAU
This 45-nucleotide non-coding RNA is filed under the name Schistosoma margrebowiei. Lineage: Eukaryota; Metazoa; Platyhelminthes; Trematoda; Strigeidida; Schistosomatidae. The record is from RNAcentral.